CUGCAACAACAACCUGCACACGAACAGAAGCUACGACUGCUUGCCUGCUACUUCUCAAAAGAAAUUUAAAUGGUUCAAAAGCCCAUCUAGCAGAAAAACUAAUGCAAGAUAGAUGUGGAGUUUAUAUCGGAGAGUCGUUCAACAGAUGGACGGAGCUUCGUGAGCUCAACUGCAGAACAGAUGAAGAGUUGGCAACGUUUCUUAUGUACAGUUACCAAACCGGAUCAGGGGCUACAACAUCUACUCCUAUAUAUAAAAAAACAACUAUUUCCUGCUGUGCCAACACUAUCGAGCAUCCACGGGGACUUAUCUGAGAGAGAUACCAAUUUUGAACAGGGACUGAACGUCUUGGAGCAAGAGGAAGCCCUUUCUUCAAGAACUGCAGAGUAAGUAAAACAUGUUUAUUAUCUGUGUAGUUGUCACACUGGUCAUUGACAAUGAAAUUAAAAUGUUGUUUUUUGUUUAGUUUACCAUCAGUUGGUUUUCCUGAGGAGGAGUACAACCACACUGUGAGGAUUUGAGCUUGUGUUUACAAAAACAAGUUUAAACCAAAACUUGUGUACAUAAUGCUAAUUUAUAAUGCUAAUGUUUACACACUGUGUUCACAGGACAGGGGCCUCUCUGAGAAGGAAAACAGAUCUGAAUGACCUUCAGUACAUCAGUGAGCAGGACACAGGGAGAGGUCCACAUUACAGAAGUGUUUACUGAUGCCCACUCACAGAUUUCUGCUCUUUCAGUAAGUGUCACCGUAUUUAUGUUAUGAAACUUGUAAUUGGACACAUCUAAAGCAAUUAUAGUUUUAAUUUUUGAAUGUAUAAACCUGACACAGGAAAUGGGAUAUACAAAGACAGAGGUGUGGAGCACACAUGAUAUGUAGCAUGGGUCUAAGAACUUGGGCAAAAAGCUACAUGCAGUAAGUAAAAUUGUGAGCUUUGUAAAAGAUGCUUAUUGUGCAUUUAUACUG
This 964-nucleotide long non-coding RNA is filed under the name Neogobius melanostomus (round goby). RNAcentral's name for it is "lncRNA (ENSNMLG00000021441.1)". Lineage: Eukaryota; Metazoa; Chordata; Actinopteri; Gobiiformes; Gobiidae. The record is from RNAcentral.